UGUACUGAGGCUGUGUGAGGCUCUUGCUUUAGACAGACAACAAGCUAGCAUCUCCUGUCUCUAGUUUUCCUGCGCAAAACAGGUCAGUAGUAAAUAUUAUAUUAUCACAGUUUGUUGUGGAAAAUAGUGGGUUUGGAUCACAACUUUGAAUUUUCCCACCCACUGCAGAGGAGUUUUGCUAGCUUCUGUGUAAACAAUGUAACAAGAUGGCAGCCUAACUGUUGUUUACAUGAUUAUUGUAACUGUACCAGCUACCUUUUAUUGCAUUAGUUUAAUUGAUGUUUGAGGGAAAUACAGAAAUUUGUGGUGACAUUAUUCACAUUUGCAUUUUUGGUGAUAAUAUAUACUUGACACAUUCAUUUAAUAUUGUGUGUUUGUCUCAGUGACCAAUAGAUGGCAGUAUAGAGCACAAAGGCAUUAGUUUUGAAUAGAGAAAAGAAUUGUUUUUCUGUAAAUUAAGGUGACAUUUUUAGUGUAGUCAAGGAAUAUUUUUUAUGUAGUGGUUCUGUGAGGGUUGUUAGCAGGGACAUACAACCAGAAACACAAAGCUUCCAGUCUCUGGUAAUUUUAAUUUCUGUACACAACCACUCUUUUUUACUCAAACUGAAAUUUAAAUCUCUACUAUCAUACUGACAAAUAAGAAUGGGAGUGAUUCUGACUCCUUAAUGAUUACAUCGCCAGCUGUAGCAGAAAUACUGUGAAAACACAUUGACUCAUAUUAAAAGUCAAUUAAAAGGAAAAUUUCUCUGUCUUUGUUUCGGAAAGACAUAAAGAAAUAAAAAAUAAAAAAAUCAGUCUGAACAUUAAAUGAACCAAGUGUCCAAUCAGAAGCGGUUGCUAGGUGGAAUAGAAUCAGUCGACCAAUCAGCGUUUUGUUUGCCGACGUUGGCAGCGUCUGCCGUCACUGGUAGUGACGCACUGUGAGAAGCGGAGAGGAGAGCGGAGCAGCAGACAAACAAAGACGGAGAAAUUUGUGAAAAUAUGGAGAAAACCCGGCGUUUGAGGCGUCGUAACGUCGCUUUGCUUUGUUAGCACUGUCAGAAACUUCAAGACCGAACAAGUGUGGGUGCCAAAACGAGCUUUGGAGCGGUUUUUGUCGAACAGGAGCGAGCACACCUGCGGAACGAAGGUCUUUCCUUGUUGAGCUGCUGCAGCCUGGAGGGAAACACCAGCUCUCACCUCACACACCAAACAGGUGUCACCACUUGGUCCAUGAGUGCAGAGUCUCCUCAAACAGUAAACCAGUUCUCUGAGAGCAGAAGAGAAACCUCCAGGUGAAUUCACAGAAACAACUGGAUCCACUGAAGGUGAAGGUGGAGGAGAAGAAGAUGGAGGCAGCUGAAGGUCUGGACCUGAAGAGGAGGAAAGAAAACACCACAGAUGAAGCUGUUCAGACAACAACAAUACACCCCUC
Molecule: long non-coding RNA, 1414 nt
Organism: Lates calcarifer (barramundi perch)
Lineage: Eukaryota; Metazoa; Chordata; Actinopteri; Centropomidae
Exons: 5
Source: RefSeq, a predicted model, not a curated record